UACGAAGGGGGCUAGCGUUACUCGGAUUGACUGGGCGUAAAGGGCGCGUAGGCGGCUGGUACAGUCAGACGUGAAAUUCCUGGGCUCAACCUGGGGGCUGCGUUUGAUACGUGCUGUCUGGAGUUCGGAAGAGGGUCGUGGAAUUCCCAGUGUAGAGGUGAAAUUCGUAGAUAUUGGGAAGAACACCCGUGGCGAAGGCGGCUCUCUGGGACGGUACUGACGCUGAGACGCGAAAGCGUGGGGAGCGAACAGG
RNAcentral lists this ribosomal RNA (253 nucleotides) under uncultured bacterium. Its description in RNAcentral is "partial 16S ribosomal RNA". It matches the Rfam family "Bacterial small subunit ribosomal RNA", at positions 524 to 776 of the family's 1533-position model. The record is from RNAcentral.